UUUUUAUCAAUCGCUGUUAGAAAUCUAGUGACAAAACAGAUCGAUAUAUAAUUCCUGGGAAUUUAUUUACAAUCUCAAUAUUUGAAUAAAACUAACGUAAAAACAAACGCAUAAUAUCUACCAAUAAAUCACGUAAGAUGUAGGGUUAAAAGUAAUAUAUAAAAACAAUGCAAAAAAUAUAAAUAGUUAACAGUAUUCCAAUUAGUUUAAUAACAGAAUAAAGUCAUUCUUUCGUCAAACAUGAAAUUAAUUAAUUUGUUCCUUGUAAUCGCUUGCAUUGCUGCCAGUACAAUGGCAAUUCCAAAUAAUUAUAAUGCACAAAACGUUGUAAACUCCGGUUAUUUUUCUCAAGGAAGGAAUCAUUAAUUUAUUUAUAAAUUUAUUUAAUUGUUCGAAAUAAAAAAAAAACAAAUUUUAUUUAGUUUGUAAUGAGCAAAUAACAAAAGUUAAUUCUAUAUAAAUAUA
This is a long non-coding RNA of Lucilia cuprina (Australian sheep blowfly), 465 nucleotides long. RefSeq lists it as uncharacterized. Lineage: Eukaryota; Metazoa; Arthropoda; Insecta; Diptera; Calliphoridae. The transcript has 2 exons. The record is from RefSeq and is a predicted model, not a curated record.